UCGAAGGACGAACGGCUGGCGGCGUGCCUAAUACAUGCAAGUCGAACGGUCUUUCUAUGGAAGCUUGCUUCCACUGAGAAGAUAGUGGCGAACGGGUGAGUAACACGUGGGUAACCUGCCCAUAAGAGGGGGGAUAACAUCCGGAAACGGGUGCUAAUACCGCAUAGUUUUCUUGAUCGCAUGAUCGGGAAAGGAAAGACGGCCUUUGUGCUGUCGCUUAUGGAUGGACCCGCGGCGUAUUAGUUAGUUGGUGAGGUAACGGCUCACCAAGACGAUGAUACGUAGCCGACCUGAGAGGGUGAUCGGCCACAUUGGGACUGAGACACGGCCCAAACUCCUACGGGAGGCAGCAGUAGGGAAUCUUCCGCAAUGGACGAAAGUCUGACGGAGCAACGCCGCGUGAGUGAAGAAAGGUUUUCGGAUCGUAAAACUCUGUUGUCAGAGAAGAACAAGUUGGAGAGUAACUGCUCCAGCCUUGACGGUAUCUGACCAGAAAGCCACGGCUAACUACGUGCCAGCAGCCGC
Molecule: ribosomal RNA, 525 nt
Filed under: uncultured bacterium
Lineage: Bacteria
Description: bacterial SSU rRNA
Rfam family: Bacterial small subunit ribosomal RNA
Source: RNAcentral